This is a non-coding RNA of Rattus norvegicus (Norway rat), 358 nucleotides long. Lineage: Eukaryota; Metazoa; Chordata; Mammalia; Rodentia; Muridae. The record is from Rfam.
GGAGGUAAAGAGGAUCUGGUUGUGGCUUCUGUCACUCAGUUCAUUAGCAGGGUUAAUCUGGCUGAUCUGGCUGGCUAGCUGAUGCCUCUUGUUUUCUCACUGCUUGAUGUGUGUCCUUCCAGAAGCUGCAGGCCUGUUUGAAGAUGACAAUCUUAACUGAUGAAGGAGCAUUAUUCUUCUAUCAAGGGCAUGUGAAAAGUUGAGUUCUGCUUCUAGAACCCAUUAACAAGCUCUCAUGGUCCACCAUUUCCUAAUAGUGUCACAGGCGUUGUGACCAAUCUUUGAUGAAUGGAACCUUGAAUCUAAACUAUAGAGUUUCUCAUCUCCACGAUGUGUGUGUGUGUGUGUGUGUGUGUGU